RNAcentral lists this ribosomal RNA (494 nucleotides) under uncultured bacterium. RNAcentral's name for it is "partial 16S ribosomal RNA". It matches the Rfam family "Bacterial small subunit ribosomal RNA", at positions 28 to 507 of the family's 1533-position model. The record is from RNAcentral.
GACGAACGCUGGCGGCGUGCCUAAUACAUGCAAGUCGAACGGUUUAGUUCCAAGAGGCUUGCCUUUUGGAACUAGACAGUGGCGGACGGGUGAGUAACACGUAGGCAACCUACCUGUCAAACCGGGAUAACCUCGGGAAACCGAAGCUAAACCCGGAUAAGCUCCUUUUUCGCAUGAAGGGGGAGUGAACAGGUGCGACCUGAUGACAGAUGGGCCUGCUGCGCAUUAGCUAGUAGGUAGGGUAACGGCCUACCUAGGCGAUGAUGCGUAGGCGACCGGAGGGGGGCGAGCGCGAGAGGGGGACCGGGAAAAGUGCGAGAGACCUACGGGAGGGAGUCAUAAGGGAGGCUGCGGUAGGGGAGAAAGCCUGAACGGAGGAAGCCGGAUGAAGGAAGGAGGCCUUCGGGGUGAAAAACUUCGGGUUGUGGGAAGAAGGGAAAGGGGAGGAACCUUAGGUGACGGUACCAAACGAGAAAGCCCCGGCUAACUACGUG